GCAGUCGACGAGAUCUUCGGAUCUAGUGGCGCACGGGUGCGUAACGCGUGGGAAUCUGCCCUUGGGUUCGGAAUAACAGUUGGAAACGGCUGCUAAUACCGGAUGAUGACGUAAGUCCAAAGAUUUAUCGCCCAAGGAUGAGCCCGCGUAGGAUUAGCUAGUUGGUAAGGUAAAGGCUUACCAAGGCGACGAUCCUUAGCUGGUCUGAGAGGAUGAUCAGCCACACUGGGACUGAGACACGGCCCAGACUCCUACGGGAGGCAGCAGUAGGGAAUAUUGGACAAUGGGGGCAACCCUGAUCCAGCAAUGCCGCGUGAGUGAUGAAGGCCUUAGGGUUGUAAAGCUCUUUUACCCGGGAUGAUAAUGACAGUACCGGGAGAAUAAGCCCCGGCUAACUCCGUGCCAGCAGCCGCGGUAAUACGGAGGGGGCUAGCGUUGUUCGGAAUUACUGGGCGUAAAGCGCACGUAGGCGGCGAUUUAAGUCAGAGGUGAAAGCCCGGGGCUCAACCCCGGAAUAGCCUUUGAGACUGGAUUGCUUGAACAUCGGAGAGGUGAGUGGAAUUCCGAGUGUAGAGGU
Molecule: ribosomal RNA, 577 nt
Filed under: uncultured bacterium
Lineage: Bacteria
Description: bacterial SSU rRNA
Rfam family: Bacterial small subunit ribosomal RNA
Source: RNAcentral